This 576-nucleotide ribosomal RNA is filed under the name uncultured Bacilli bacterium. RNAcentral's name for it is "bacterial SSU rRNA". It matches the Rfam family "Bacterial small subunit ribosomal RNA", at positions 52 to 610 of the family's 1533-position model. The record is from RNAcentral. Lineage: Bacteria; Bacillati; Bacillota; Bacilli.
AACUGAUAUGACGUGCUUGCACUGAUUUGACGAUGGAUUACCAGUGAGCGGCGGACGGGUGAGUAACACGUGGGCAAUCUGCCCUGGAGCGGGGGAUAACAUUUGGAAACAGAUGCUAAUACCGCAUAAUAGUCAAAACCACAUGGUUUUGACUUCAAAGAUGGCUUCGGCUAUCACUCCAGGAUGGGCCCGCGGUGCAUUAGCUAGUUGGUAAGGUAACGGCUUACCAAGGCGAUGAUGCAUAGCCGAGUUGAGAGACUGAUCGGCCACAAUGGAACUGAGACACGGUCCAUACUCCUACGGGAGGCAGCAGUAGGGAAUCUUCCACAAUGGGCGCAAGCCUGAUGGAGCAACACCGCGUGAGUGAAGAAGGGUUUCGGCUCGUAAAACUCUGUUGUUGAAGAAGAACGUGCGUGAGAGUAACUGUUCACGCAGUGACGGUAUUCAACCAGAAAGUCACGGCUAACUACGUGCCAGCAGCCGCGGUAAUACGUAGGUGGCAAGCGUUAUCCGGAUUUAUUGGGCGUAAAGCGAGCGCAGGCGGUUACUUAAGUCUGAUGUGAAAGCCUUCGGCUU